UCGAGAGGUGAAAGACCUCGGCAUACUGCUCAGUAACACGUGGUUAACCUGCCCUAAGGUGAAGCAUACUCCCGGGAAACUGGGGCUAAUACUUCAUAGUGGAUAUGUCCUGGAAUGGUAUAUCCUCGAAAGAUCCGUCGCCUUAGGAUGGGACUGCGUCCGAUUAGGUUGUUGGCGGGGUAACGGCCCACCAAGCCAUUGAUCGGUACGGGUUGUGGGAGCAAGAUCCCGGAGAUGGAUUCUGAGACAUGAAUCCAGGCCCUACGGGGCGCAGCAGGCGCGCAAACUUUACAAUGCGAGCAAUCGUGAUAAGGAAACCCUGAGUGCCUGUCGAUGCAGGCUGUUCAUAUAUCUAAAUCAUAUGUGAAGAAAGGGCAGGGCAAGACCGGUGCCAGCCGCCGCGGUAAUACCGGCUGCUCGAGUGAUGGCCACUAUUACUGGGUUUAAAGCGUCCGUAGCUUGACUGUUAGGUCCCUUGGGAAAUCUUCACGCUCAACGUGAAGGCGUCUAAGAGAUACCGGCAGUCUUGGAACUGGGAGAGGUAAACCGUACUUCGGGGGUAGGAGUGAAAUCUUGUAAUCCUCGAGGGACGACCUAUGGCGAAGGCAGUUUACCAGAACAGCUUCGACAGUGAGGGACGAAAGCUGGGGGAGCAAACGGGAUUAGAUACCCCGGUAGUCCCAGCCGUAAACAAUGUGCGUUAGGUGUGUCGGUAACCACGCGUUACUGAUGCGCCGAAGAGAAAUCGUGAAACGCACCACCUGGGAAGUACGGUCGCAAGGCUGAAACUUAAAGGAAUUGGCGGGGGGAGCACCACACAGGUGGAGCCUGCGGU
This 835-nucleotide ribosomal RNA is filed under the name uncultured Methanocorpusculum sp. RNAcentral describes it as "bacterial SSU rRNA". It matches the Rfam family "Archaeal small subunit ribosomal RNA", at positions 58 to 901 of the family's 1478-position model. Lineage: Archaea; Methanobacteriati; Methanobacteriota; Methanomicrobia; Methanomicrobiales; Methanocorpusculaceae. The record is from RNAcentral.